UACGGGGGGGGCAAGCGUUGUUCGGAAUUACUGGGCGUAAAGGGCUCGUAGGCGGCCAACUAAGUCGGACGUGAAAUCCCCAGGCUCAACCUGGGAACUGCGUCUGAUACUGGAUGGCUUGAAUCCGGGAGAGGGAUGCAGAAUUCCAGGUGUAGCGGUGAAAUGCGUAGAUAUCUGGAGGAAUACCGGUGGCGAAGGCGGCAUCCUGGACCGGCAUUGACGCUGAGGAGCGAAAAGCCAGGGGGAGCAAACGGG
Molecule: ribosomal RNA, 255 nt
Filed under: uncultured bacterium
Lineage: Bacteria
Description: partial 16S ribosomal RNA
Rfam family: Bacterial small subunit ribosomal RNA
Source: RNAcentral